CCAGCACCCCGAGUGUCGGGACGAUUAUUGGGCCUAAAGCAUCCGUAGCCGGUUUUACAAGUCCUCCGUUAAAUCCAACUGCUUAACAGAUGGGCCGCGGAGGAUACUAUAAGACUAGGAGGCAGGAAAGGCAAGCGGUACUCAGUGGUAGGGGUAAAAUCCGUUGAUCCAUUGAAGACCACCAGUGGCGAGGGCGGCUUGCCAGAAUGCGCUCGACGGUGAGGGAUGAAAGCUGGGGGAGCAAACCGGAUUAGAUACCCGGGUAGUCCCAGCUGUAAACGAUGCAGACUCGGUGAUGGACUAGCUUUAUGCUAGUCCAGUGCCGCAGGGAAGCCGUUAAGUCUGCCGCCUGGGUAGUACGGUCGCAAGACUG
RNAcentral lists this ribosomal RNA (373 nucleotides) under uncultured organism. Its description in RNAcentral is "bacterial SSU rRNA". It matches the Rfam family "Archaeal small subunit ribosomal RNA", at positions 476 to 851 of the family's 1478-position model. The record is from RNAcentral.